AAACAGUUCAAAUGCUAAAUACUAAGGAGUCAAAAUUCCUUGCAAAGUGAUUUUUACAGCGUCCAUUUGGUUGAUAUAAAUUCCAAAUGCUCAUAGACGUCAAUGCCUAUAUGAAACUAUCGGUUCAAUCAUAUCGCUUUGAGUUAUAUAGAUUUUGUAAUCCCUCUUUUGAUCGUUUUAAACGCUUUAUUCUGAUUUAGGGGCCGUAGCUCAGCUGGGAGAGCACCUGCUUUGCAAGCAGG
Molecule: unclassified non-coding RNA, 242 nt
Filed under: Bartonella henselae
Lineage: Bacteria; Pseudomonadati; Pseudomonadota; Alphaproteobacteria; Hyphomicrobiales; Bartonellaceae
Description: partial contains 16S ribosomal RNA, 16S-23S ribosomal RNA intergenic spacer, and 23S ribosomal RNA
Rfam family: tRNA (bases 200-242)
Source: RNAcentral